This 465-nucleotide ribosomal RNA is filed under the name Vreelandella stevensii. RNAcentral's name for it is "partial 16S ribosomal RNA". It matches the Rfam family "Bacterial small subunit ribosomal RNA", at positions 338 to 795 of the family's 1533-position model. Lineage: Bacteria; Pseudomonadati; Pseudomonadota; Gammaproteobacteria; Oceanospirillales; Halomonadaceae. The record is from RNAcentral.
CCUACGCGCUGCAGCAGUGGGGAAUAUUGGACAAUGGGCGAAAGCCUGAUCCAGCCAUGCCGCGUGUGUGAAGAAGGCCUUCGGGUUGUAAAGCACUUUCAGUGGGGAAGAAAGCCUUGGGGCUAAUACCCUCGAGGAAGGACAUCACCCACAGAAGAAGCACCGGCUAACUCCGUGCCAGCAGCCGCGGUAAUACGGAGGGUGCGAGCGUUAAUCGGAAUUACUGGGCGUAAAGCGCGCGUAGGCGGUCUGAUAAGCCGGUUGUGAAAGCCCCGGGCUCAACCUGGGAACGGCAUCCGGAACUGUCAGGCUAGAGUGCAGGAGAGGAAGGUAGAAUUCCCGGUGUAGCGGUGAAAUGCGUAGAGAUCGGGAGGAAUACCAGUGGCGAAGGCGGCCUUCUGGACUGACACUGACGCUGAGGUGCGAAAGCGUGGGUAGCAAACAGGAUUAGAUACCCCAGUAGUC